Molecule: microRNA, 19 nt
Filed under: Corchorus olitorius
Lineage: Eukaryota; Viridiplantae; Streptophyta; Magnoliopsida; Malvales; Malvaceae
Description: hsa-miR-13
Source: RNAcentral
GAUGUUGUUGCUGAUGCUG